UAGCCUGAAAAACGAGAGAGACCAGAAUAUAGGUGUGUGCCCAUGGUAUGUCAUCUGAAAGGACUGGGUAAGCACGUGGGACGGAUGCUGAGCUGGGAAUUCAUAGAGGGUGUCCAGACUCCAGAGCCAAGAAGUGAGCUGGGCUCCCACCCCAUUCUGAAGUUGCCAAAGAGUGAACUUGACCUGUAUUCUGCUGUAUUACAACGUCCCCCCAUGGAAUCUCUCAUACAUCAUAGAGCUUCCCUCCACCCUUCAGCCUUUUUAGUGCCUCCAACUAGAACAUCUGCAGCAGGGAAGAGGCCAGGAUGGGGUUCUUCACCAGUUCAUUAGAGUUUUCCUCAUCUCCUCCUCACUCAUUCACUGUGUGGCCUCUGAUACUCCAGGGAUAGAGCAGAAAGAAAGGAGAGGUAAUGGACAGAGACCUGGGAAUACUGUUUUAUGCAAUGUGUGUGCGUGUGCGUGUGUGUGCGUGUGCAUGUGUGUGUGCGUGUGUGUGCACGCGCGUGUGUGUGCGUGUGUGCGUGCAUGUGUGUGCGCAUGUGUGCGUGCAUGUGUGUGUGCACGUGUGUGCGUGCAUGUGUGUGUGCGCGCGUGUGUGUGUGUGUUUUGCAGAUAUUUAUAAGCUGAUCCCUCCUUCCUGGAACUCCUCGAAGGCUCCCCAGGUGAGCACAUCCCUAUAUAGGAAACUCUAAUUCAUUGGCUGCCUCCCCUGGCUGCUUUGUUUUUCAGGUGCUCUCACAUUCAUUCCAACCGCCACCUUUUACCCUCAGACACUCUCAGGAUUGAAUCAGAUAGCCCUUUGCAAAUGCCCCAAAUUUCAAGGAUCACACAUCCAUCUUGGUAAUUAGUUCCCUUGAAGUUCCACACUUAGUUUAAGGUGAAAAAGCAGAAGGCCGUCCUCUCCCUGUGACAAUCAAGAGUUUUCUGCACACCUGCAGCCCUCUCUGAAGCAGCCCUUCUAGUCCCCAGGCUCUGAUGUCCCCUAUUCAUAUGGUGCGCUAACUCUGCUAUGACCAUCACUGGUGGGCCAUUCCAUUUGCAAGACCAGCACUUCUGUGGUGUUUUAGAAUCCAUUUUUUUUUUUUGUUCUUAGCAUUUGUAACUUCUACUGAAUCUUUAAGACCACAAGAAUAGCCACAUUUUAUACCCUACUGUAAACAAAUUUCCAGUAGAAGUCAGAUAAGUGCAUAUAUAAGAAUUCAUAUACAUGUUGGCUUUAAUCCUGUUUCACUUAUGCAGAUUUUACCUCCACCCAUUAACAGAACACCAUAAGUUUAUUAUCAAAUUUUGAGAGGUAUUACCUAGAAAUCUAUACCAGCACAAGUUUAUGGUAUUAUUUGCCUGGGAAAUAAGAAAAUAGCAGUUCAGCAGCUGAGAGGCAGUGUGUAGCACAGAGACUAAAUGCAUCGAUUACUCAUCCCUCCCUUUGUUGAAUUUUAUCACUGUAAGCCUAUAUCUAUAGAUCAAGAAAAUCCAUUCAAUCUUUCUGUGUUUCAUUUUUCAUCAAGUGGUAAUAAUAAUAAUUGUACCUACCUUACAGGUGGUUAUAAAGAUUAAUGAAGAUAAUAUAUAUGUGCUACUUAGAACACUGUAAUUAAAAAAAUGCUCAAUAAAUGUUAGCUAUUACUGGCUUAGGAUUUGGGUAAAACACACACAGAGGCACACACACACGAAGUAAAACCAUUUCUGUACAGUUGGUGAUUAAUUUUAGUCAAUCAGUUAAGCAACUGUUUACAAGCUUCUCUGUGCCAGAGUAUUAUGCCAAGCACCGGAAUACUGGGAAGUGUGGGUGUGGGUGGAGAAAAGCAAUUAAGCAAGACUCACUAGUGUAGUAGGAGAAACAACUAUCAGGAGAGUCUCUUGAGAUAUUUAAGGUCCAAGGAGACUCAUAUUGUGAAAUAGUGCAAAUCCAAACAGAAUGAGGUGGUGUUCACCCCUCAAGUUGGCAAAAAUGUUAAAGUUUGAGAAUACCCAUUGCUGGAAAUGAUGUGAGGAAAACACACAUUCUCCAUAUAUAAUCAAUAAAGGUAGACAUUUAUCAACUUUUAUGGAAGGUAUUGGAAAACAUCUACAAAGGGUGAGAUACGUGUGUAAGGAUGAUGGCUGCACUGUAGUCAAGUAUAGGCCGAGGUACACAUCUGGAAUAGCAUGACACAAUGAGAUUGGAGCGCAGGUGCACAAUCCCAUGCAUUUUAUAAUCACAGUUAUGUAGCCAUAACAUGGGAGGGCUCAUCACCUGGCUCUGAGCCAGUAUUGUGUGUGACAUGCAUAAAUGCAGCACUGACAGUGUGAGUGAGCUGCUAAAUAAAGCCAUGUCCCCAUCUACCUGUGAUCUCUUGAGUGUUCUUUCAGCUGCCCACCCCUUGCCCGCUGACUCCCCUGGAACCUAACAAUGUG
Pan troglodytes (chimpanzee) is the source of this 2397-nucleotide long non-coding RNA. Lineage: Eukaryota; Metazoa; Chordata; Mammalia; Primates; Hominidae. The record is from Ensembl.